Neofelis nebulosa (Clouded leopard) is the source of this 1363-nucleotide long non-coding RNA. RefSeq lists it as uncharacterized. The transcript has 2 exons. The record is from RefSeq and is a predicted model, not a curated record. NCBI's taxonomy places the organism in Eukaryota, Metazoa, Chordata, Mammalia, Carnivora, Felidae.
UUGAAUCAGGAUUCAGGCUCCGAGCUGUCAGCACAGAGCCCGAUGCGGGGCUUGAACCCACAAACCGCGAGAUCAUGACCUGAGCCAAAGUCAGAUGCUUAACCGACUAAGCCACCCAGGCGCCCCUCUGUUUACUUUUUUUAACUCACAAAUUCAUUUUAAAUUUGGAUCUGUUCCUGUAGGUACUGACCACCUGUGCCAAUUUAGGUGUUUUCAAAGAAUUAUAUUAAAUAACUUAAAUGUUAGGAAAAUAUUCCAGCAGUCAUUGGUGAAAAUUGAUCUAGUUUUGCAUAUAGCAUCUACUUUAGACCAAGAAGCUUAUGCUGUUUCAGAGGUAUCACUGUGGAAAAAAAUCUGCUUUGGGACUGUGAGGUAUUUAGGGAUGUGGGUAAUAACCGAACUGCUGAGGGGGCACCUGUGGCUCAGUCGGUUAAGCGUCCGACUUUUGAUUUUGGCUCAAGUCAUGAUCUCACGGUUUGUGAAUUUAAGCCCUGCUUGGGGCUCUGCACUGACAGCAUGGAACCUGCUUGGGAUAUUCUCUCUCUCUCUCUCUCUCUCUCUCUCAAAAUAAAUAAUAAAUUAAAAAAAGAAUUGAACUGCUGAGCUGAAGCAUGAGGGGGAAGGGAGGGAACUGUUUGGUUUUGGAAGAGACGAAACAGGAACUGGGGAGGAGAGUAGCAAUACCUCUUCUCAGCUCAGAUCUGGUUGGGAAAGGAUUCUGGGGCUAGAACCAGGGCCUGAGAUGUAAAGCAGGAUGUCUGAGGUAGAUCUUGACAUAGGGGAGCUAUGCAAAGGUAGGAAAGAGUAAGGUUCAAGAUAACUAUAAAAAGGCUAGCAUUUGGGGCGCCUGGGUGGGUCAGUCGGUUGAGUGUCUGGCUCUUGAUUUCAGUUGAAGUCAUCAUCCCACGGUCGUGGGAUCGAAUCCUGAGUCGGUCUCCACGUGGAGCCUGCUUAAGACUUUUUCUUUUUCUCACUCUGCCCCUCUCCCCUGCUCGUGCACUCUUGCUCUCUCACAUAGGAAAAGAAAAAAAGAAAAGGCUAGCUUUUGAAAGCCAAUGAAAAACUUAGUACUGGGAAAAAAUGGGAUUUUGUUUACUGUUUAUUUCAGUCUUAGUUUUUAAGAGCUAUCCUCUUAUAGGGAAGAGAGCUUACUUCUUGGACCCUGCCCUAUGUUUUGCCACAAUAAGAGUUUCUUCUGUGGAAUUUUGUUUUUAAAGAACUGAAGGAAGUACCUGCACAUAAUACAUUUAUUAAUUUGUAUAAGCAAUUUGAUAAGUUGCAGAGUUCCAUCAUCUUACAAGUGGCAAAUUAUAUAUUUUUGGAUGAAAAUUUCCAUGCUUUUAAUAAAUAUAGAUAUAUCAUU